Molecule: long non-coding RNA, 675 nt
Organism: Bubalus bubalis (water buffalo)
Lineage: Eukaryota; Metazoa; Chordata; Mammalia; Artiodactyla; Bovidae
Exons: 3
Source: RefSeq, a predicted model, not a curated record
CUGAGCUCACAGUGGUGGAACCCAGGCUGGGCGGCCAGACUGAGGCAGAGGAGUUGCUGCCGGCCCGGAGGACUCCAGGCUCCCUCCCUCCCAACCCCUUGCCAUGGUCCUAGCCACUGUGCUUUUGAUACACACCCGGCCGCAGCAGCCUGUCACCCUGGGUGCUGUCACAGGCCUCCACUCCCAUCCCUGCACAGCCCGCGCUGGUGCCUAUGUCACAGCAGCACAGCCCACCCGUGGGUCCCUGAAGCUCCGGGGCAGCUGGGAUACUGAUGAAGGAUGCUCACCCCUCGGGAGCGCCCUGGCAGGGUCGAUGAAAGAAACAGAAGCUCACAGAAGAAGCGUCUGUAGCUCUACAACUGUUAAAUGACCAAACAGAUUUGGAAACCAAACUCUGAUCUGAAACCAGGACUUCCAGUUGCUUUACUGGCAUUUGUUACCCAGGAGAAGAACACAUUAAAAGGAAUUAAGUUGAAUCAGCCUUGGUUUUGUUUUCUGUAAAAGUAUUUUCAGAGAUGAUGUAUAUAUUCAGCCUUGUACCCAUUUGCAAGUAUUAAUAUGUGUGAUAAACUUGUUACUGGCCAGAAUUAUAGAAUAAGAGUGGGAUCCAAAGGAAAUGAGACAUAUCUAUUAUUAUUAUCAUGCUCAUUAUAGAACAAUUAAAAGUAAUUUUUA